RNAcentral lists this ribosomal RNA (157 nucleotides) under uncultured Nitrobacter sp. RNAcentral's name for it is "partial 16S ribosomal DNA". It matches the Rfam family "Bacterial small subunit ribosomal RNA", at positions 353 to 525 of the family's 1533-position model. Lineage: Bacteria; Pseudomonadati; Pseudomonadota; Alphaproteobacteria; Hyphomicrobiales; Nitrobacteraceae. The record is from RNAcentral.
GGCCGCGAAUAUUUGGACAAUGGGCGCAAGCCUGAUCCAGCCAUGCCGCGUGAGUGAUGAAGGCCCUAGGGUUGUAAAGCUCUUUUGUGCGGGAAGAUAAUGACGGUACCGCAAGAAUAAGCCCCGGCUAACUUCGUGCCAGCAGCCGCGGUAAUUA